This is a long non-coding RNA of Oncorhynchus tshawytscha (Chinook salmon), 637 nucleotides long. The record is from Ensembl. Lineage: Eukaryota; Metazoa; Chordata; Actinopteri; Salmoniformes; Salmonidae.
ACAGGUAGGGUCAGUCAGUCAGUCAGUCAGGUAGUAGUAUAUAGUGAGUUAUAUCUACAGGUAGGGUCAGUCAGCCAGAGUAGUGUAUAGUGAGUCAUAUCUACAGGUAGGGUCAGUCAGUCAGUCAGGUAGUAGUAUAUAGUGAGUCAUAUCUCCAGGUAGGGUCAGUCAGUCAGUCAGGCAGUAGUAUAUAGUGAGUCAUAUCUACAGGUAGGGUCAGUCAGGUAGUAGUGUAUAGUGAGUCAUAUCUACAGGUAGGAUCAGUCAGGUAGUAGUGUAUAGUGAGUUAUAUCUACAGGUAGGGUCAGUCAGGUAGUAGUAUAUAGUGAGUCAUAUCUACAGGUAGGGUCAGUCAGCCAGAGUAGUGUACAGUGAGUCAUAUCUACAGGUAGGGUCAGUCAGUCAGGUAGUAGUAUAUAGUGAGUCAUAUCUACAGGUAGGGUCAGUCAGGUAGUAGUAUAUAGUGAGUCAUAUCUACAGGUAGGGUCAGUCAGGUAGUAGUAUAUAGUGAGUCAUAUCUACAGGUAGGGGUCAGUCAGGUAGUAGUAUAUAGUGAGUCAUAUCUACAGGUAGGGUCAGUCAGGUAGUAGUGUAUAGUGAGUCAUAUCUCCAGGUAGGGUCAGUCAGUCAGCCAGUC